GUCCUUUCUACCCUCCCUUCCCAACAUGGAUUAGCCUGUGUCUAGGCCUGGAUUUACCCGUGUAGUUGUACAUGUCCUUUCUACCCUCCCUUCCCAACAUGGAUUAGCCUGUGUCUAGGCCUGGAUUUACCCAUGUAGUUGUACAUGUCCUUUCUACCCUCCCUUCCCAACAUGGAUUAGCCUGUGUCUAGGCCUGGAUUUACCCGUGUAGUUGUACAGGUCCUUUCUACCCUCCCUUCCCAACAUGGAUUAGCCUGUGUCUAGGCCUGGAUUUACCCAUGUAGUUGUACAGGUCCUUUCUACCCUCCCUUCCCAACAUGGAUUAGCCUGUGUCUAGGCCUGGAUUUACCCAUGUAGUUGUACAUGUCCUUUCUACCCUCCCUUCCCAACAUGGAUUAGCCUGUGUCUAGGCCUGGAUUUACCUGUGUAGUUGUACAGGUCCUUUCUACCCUCCCUUCCCAACAUGGAUUAGCCUGUGUCUAGGCCUGGAUUUACCCAUGUAGUUGUACAUGUCCUUUCUACCCUCCCUUCCCAACAUGGAUUAGCCUGUGUCUAGGCCUGGAUUUACCCGUGUAGUUGUACAGGUCCUUUCUGAGACUGGCUACACUGAACGCUAAUCUUAUUAGGGGUUCAAGUAUCGAAGCUGAGAGAAACCCUGUUGUAUUUGUUGGCGUUCAUUGUUAUACCCGUUCUUUCCGCAAGGAAAAUGAACAUGCAAAUUCCUGUGUGAUGGUAAGGCUGAGGAGGGUACAAUUUGGCAUGAUGGGAAAGGCCCAUAGUCCACACCGUCUCAUGCAAUGCCACACCAGGGCCUCAUGGUGAAGCUAUAUCAAGCGCUUAAAAUUUCACAUUUUGAAAGGUCAUGCCCCUUAUCCCAUGUGACCGAGAGUCCUGGAAUUCAGUACACGGGUUUCUCUCCUCACAUGGAACAAAUUUUCCUCAAGAUCCCAUAAGGUCCGCUAUGAUGGAUUUUCUGCCAUUUAGAAUUUUUUGAAAAACACUUAAAUUAAAUCUCCUCCGGAACCACUGGGCCGAUCAGGUUGAAACUUGAUUUAUAGCAUGUAUGGACCAAGGUCUCUCAACGCAAUAUUUUCCUGGCUAGCUUCUGAAAGAACACGGACCAAUAAACAUUCAAGUGGGCGUGACCUGGCACAUAAAUGCAUAAAAAUCUGACACGGUUAUUCGUAUUGUAACAACUUGCUAUACAUGUUCAAAACCCUGUCUGGACUUAACGUAUGCAAGCACAUUUAGAUCUACCACACAGUGGCUAUAAUGGACACAUAUUUAUAUCUCUUGAUCUGUUUGAGUUAGUCGUGAAAUUUGGCACACAUGCUCAGGGAGGCGAGUCUAGCUAACCUGUAGAGUAUGGUUCUAUUUGGCCGGAUGGAGGCGCUGUUGGACAUGAUAAAUAAUACAUGCGAGCUCAUUGGCUUAGCGGCCAUAUUGUUUGAGCUAGAGUCUUAUUUGAAGACGUGUCUAUAGAUGCUAAAUACCAAAUUUGGUGCUGAUCGGUUCAGCGGUUCUGGAGAAGAUGUUUAAAGUAGUCAACAUUUGAAAAGGUCCAAAAUACAUCAAAAGCAUGUUGGAUUUUGAGUUCUGAUAUUUGGAAAGCGUGGGAAGGAGUACAGAAGUGGCUCGCCCUAGGGUGACUUGUUUAAUUUGCUCUGGGGCCAUAGCUUGAACCCCGGCAUGGCUGCUUGCAGCUAUAUGUUAAACUGCUCUCGGUCAGGUUUAUAAUUUGAGCAGGGAACUCCAUUCCCCACCUCCAUAACUUAUUUUUGAUACACAAUCCUUUAUUGCAUCUGAGAACUGAGUUGUGCUGCAUAAUUGAAUUUGUGAGCAGUUGCAUUGGGAGUUGUACAAAGUCUUCUUCAGGUUCCAGAGAACGUUUUUCUCUGAUCUUUCCUCUGAGGGUCACACCAUUCCUUAUGCAUGAAGUCACAAGAGCCAUGUGUCAUUUCACUUCCAUCAUUCUUCUUUCUCUCCCUCUUUCUGUAUCACUACUGCUGUCCUGAAAGUGUCCCGCUGACUAUUUCACAUUCUAUGUCACCCAAUUCAUUCCACUCAGCUUGUCUUCAUCCAUAAGUGAAAAGAAUAGAGGUUCUUUAUGCAACAUCUUGCUACUUUGCCAUAUGUUUUUUUACAAAAAUGUUGCAGUCAAAUAUUUUGUUUUGAAAUUAUUUGUAAAGUUCAGUAUUUGUGUUUGUGCAUGAGAGUGGUUACAUGGUUACUGUGAACUAUUUAUGAGAAGUGAAAAUAAACUUUAAAAGACAUGAAUAGGUUCAUAUUGCACAUGCAUUUCUCCCACACGUAUGAGAGCACAUGAAGUAUAUACUGUAUGUUAAUAUGUAUGUACAGUAGUUGAUGAUGUUGCAGAAGAUACUGCUGUAUAGUACUGUAUGUAUGUGUCUGGUAACAUGGAGAGCACAGACUUAGUUCUUCCCAAUGACUCCAGUUCCUGUGCGGACACACACACUGUUACUGCAAGCAGUGUCCUUCCAGUUUUAAUCAGUUGUACUGUGUGUGUCUGUUUGUGUAUGUAUGUACAUAUGCUAUUUUAUUGAAAUGCUGUGUCAGAGAUGCCUGUUUCUUUUUUUAUGGUUCUAUUGGGCACAACCCAUACAGCCACUUACCACUGAAAUCUUGAAUUGAAAGUGUCCAAUUAGCUGGCACAUUGCCUCUGUCUACCCAGGGUUCUCCCCAAAGAAUGUAAUAGAGGCGCUGUGCCACCUUGUGGACUAGCUGCGCCACUAUGUAAUAUUGAGUUUUUAAGUCAAAUAAAAAUAAACAUAGUUCUUUAUUUGUUAUCAUAUACGAUUUUUUUGGGGGGGUCUAGAUUGCAGUAAAUGGCAGUUACAAGUGUUAAAAAAUGCCAAAAUUCCUGGGGCGAACCCUGCUACCAUGGUAACAUUUAUGAUGCAUUAUCAAGGAAAAGAUACUGUGUAAAUGUGUGUAUUUGGUGUGGCACACAGAAGCACAGUACCUCUGUACUGUAGAGAUGGCUCUGCAAUGUUUCUCCCCAGUUUACACCCUUGCUGCUUUCAUUACAAGAUGAGGGUUUAGUUGACGUUUUUCCUUCUCCGCUGUACAGUAGAUCUCAGAAGGCAGAACGAUGGAUUUGCUUCCCAGGUGCAAGGCCAACAUCUCUGGACAGCAGGGCUGUCCUAUGGUGUGUGUGAAUGUGUGUGCAAUAAUGUAAUAUGCACACUGUUUAAAAUGUGAGUGGUAAUCUGGUCCCUUUUAAAAAUGUAUGCCAACCUCUGUUGUGGGGUGUGUUCAGUUUGGCGUCUGAUGCUGCACACAGUGCAGAUGGCGGUCCUUAGUGGUAUAUGAGUGUGUGAGCCAUUAGUCCACAUCCAUUUAGGUUUGAUUUAUGGACACACAAGUGCCUUAGCCGGGAGACCAGAGGUAUAGAGCUGUGUGUGUGUGUGUGUGUGGAGCUGCCAGUAUUGCAUAGGUUUUGGAUGGAAGGGUAGGGUAGAUGCAUGAUGGGACACUCUGUGGCAACACUUCCCUUUCGCUUUAGUAGAACAAUGGCCCUGAAUUUAGUCUCAGUUCUUUCAUUGUUGUUAUUUCUAGUAAUAGACUUAGAUGUGAAACAGGAAUCUGAAACCUGGUGUUCCUUUUUUUUAACCUUCUGGUACAUUCUUUGAUUUGAAGAGGAAAAAAACUGAAUCUCCUCUUCUCUUCCUUAUCACGUUCACACAUGUCCAUCAGGGUUGCCGAGACGGGAUCUUGACUCCAAACUUGUUUGUGCCCUUUAAAUGUGGAAGAAGAUCAAAGUUCUAUCCAUGGGUGUUGUCACUAAAUAUAGACACCAUUGAAGCUGUUAAAAGAUACAAAAUGAGAAUCAGAAUGUCUUUUAUUUAUGUGUGUCUGUGAUCUUAUGUAUUGCACUUUUGGGAGAAACAGAAGUGAUACAGUGGAAUCAUCCGCAUUGUGUCAUACCGAUAGAUGAGUGUUCCUAUCACUAAUGGUUUAUGAAGCUUCUCAUAGGCUUAAAGUCAAACCAAUUUGGCAAAGAUCACAGUGAUAGGUUGCUCCACAGAUUUUUGUUAAAGUUUAUCUUUUUUUAUAUUGAAGUAUGCAGUCAUUUUUUUGUACUGUAAUUUUGCUGUAGUUUGAAUGCAUAUUGCACUUUUUUUUAAACAUUUGUUCAAAUAAUGUACUGUAUCUGUUUAUGAAAUUAAAUGUUUUUUCAUGCUA
Long non-coding RNA from Oncorhynchus gorbuscha (pink salmon), 4206 nucleotides. RefSeq lists it as uncharacterized. The record is from RefSeq and is a predicted model, not a curated record. The transcript has 2 exons. Lineage: Eukaryota; Metazoa; Chordata; Actinopteri; Salmoniformes; Salmonidae.